UGCCAGCAGCCGCGGUAAUACGGAGGGGGCAAGCGUUGUUCGGAAUCACUGGGCGUAAAGCGCACGUAGGCGGAUCGCUAAGUCAGGGGUGAAAUCCCGAGGCUCAACCUCGGAACUGCCUUUGAUACUGGCGAUCUUUGAGUCCGGGAGAGGUGAGUGGAAUUCCGAGUGUAGAGGUGAAAUUCGUAGAUAUUCGGAGGAACACCGGUGGCGAAGGCGGCUCACUGGCUCGAUACUGACGCUGAGGUGCGAAAGCGUGGGGAGCAAACAGGAUUAGAUA
RNAcentral lists this ribosomal RNA (280 nucleotides) under uncultured bacterium. RNAcentral's name for it is "partial 16S ribosomal RNA". It matches the Rfam family "Bacterial small subunit ribosomal RNA", at positions 506 to 784 of the family's 1533-position model. The record is from RNAcentral.